Ctenopharyngodon idella (grass carp) is the source of this 3034-nucleotide long non-coding RNA. RefSeq lists it as uncharacterized. The transcript is spliced from 5 exons. The record is from RefSeq and is a predicted model, not a curated record. Lineage: Eukaryota; Metazoa; Chordata; Actinopteri; Cypriniformes; Xenocyprididae.
AUAAAAGAAAGUUAAAUUAAAUACAAUAUUGACAAGUGAAAAAAAACUAUCCAUUUCUGCAUCAGAUUUAUUUGGGCUACUGUCUGGAAUGGCUGCAGUAUAUGAUCAUAUCUGUCUUUUGAAGGCAGUGUGUGUUGAAGAUUAUUCACAUAUCGAUCGUUAAAUAUGCUCUUUUUUAUUUAUUUCUCGCUUUUAUUGCUAUUCACAAUUUUUUUUUUUUUUUUUUUGCAGCCCAUGGGUAGAUCUUCAUAAUCUUUUUUUAUUCUGACAAACAUACUCAAUAUGAGUACUUACAAUAUGAGCAAAAUAGCGCAGUAGCCCUAUAUGAGUGUUGUAAAAUUUGCCAAAAGUGAAUAAAAUAGUACACCAUUUGAGGAAGUGGUUAAUAUAAUCAGAUGUUACUGAAAAUUGUGCUGCUUUAUGAUUUCACAUGGUGACAAACUUUGCCUUAUUAUCAUUAAUUAAGAUAGGAUCACAUUUACCACUCUGUCUUACUAUUCUGCCUUGCUAAAAAGAAAACGUAUUCGAACAAACUGCGCACUGGAUUAUAAUGAAAGAAAACCGCAUUUCCGUUAUCCUACUGUACCGAUAUAUUUUCCAGCAUUUAUUAUACAUUUACUGUAGGCUCCCAGAUAGCACACAUACAUGUGGCCGACGUCGGGCUCAUAUCUGUAACAUCUAAUAAGGAUCGGCCAGGCAUAGGCGCGUGUCUUCAGUCAGUGCUCUAUUUCCAGCUCGUCGGCUUUGGGUCGGAUCACAACUGCAGGCCGAUGCCGCGCUUAUCUGUUUGCGCGUGACCAUUCAUCUCUGCAACCGACGAGAGAAAUGGCGACUCCGGCGACAUCUGUGGUUUCCAGGUUAAGGAAGGUCUUACAGGUGUGGAACGGCAUGAGGAUGAGAUGUGAUCCCCAGCGUUUGGCGCUGAGAUUCUUCAGGACAAAGGCCUUGAUGCCAUGAAGAUGCCCAUAACUGACAGGCUUUCCUGUGUAAACCAUCAUAUUUAUCCAAAUGAGGGUCUCUGGGAUCCCCAGCUGAAGGCAUGAAGACAUCAGAUCUUGGCCUGGACAGAUGUACCAACAGUACACCACACCGACCUCUGCUUUUGCAUGGAUGGCUGAUUACUACCAUGUUCUGAGAGGGUAUUACUAUAGCAAAACUGAGCACCUGUGACACUGGGAUUUCUAGUUGUAAAGAAUAAUCACACAAUGUUUUUUAGAAGUUGCAAACUUUUCUCUCUCUUACAAACACAACAGUUAAACCUUUUCAAAUUCUUUUCUGGUGGUGCACAAGUCCUAUUCUUCGAAACAGAAAUUAAGAUAUUCAUAUGCUCACAUUUAAGCUGCGGACACACGACUUUGAGCGUGCAAAAUUUCUUCAGACACUGUAACUGGCGUGAUAUGACGUCUGCAGAGUCUUUUUAUAAACAUGAAUUAACAAAUAGUAUAUUCAAAAUAUAAAAAUAUACAGUCUACUCAUUUUUUUUUUUUAAUUUAGCCAAGAGGUCACACCUACAUGUAGCGAAUUUGUACUCUUUACACAUAGUCGUGUGAUGUGAAUUCGCAGGUCAGAGUUCCAAACCAAACUUUUUGCAUGAGCUUGCGUUUCUGGUCUCCUGCAUUUGUGUGCGUAUGAAUGGAGGUCAAUGGAAUGAAAAGCGUAGUGUGACCGCACCUUUAUUCUGCAGUUGCGGCACACCUGUAUCAGAAGUGUGAAGUCAUGGACAGAUUUUAUUUGUGAACUGAUAUGCGAGAUCUCACAUAUGACAUAUCAGUAUGUGACAUCCCACUCAAACACAUGCUCUAUCCAGUGAAAAACAUGUUCUUGUCGUUAUUAAUCAAUCAGUAAUCAACACAGCACCACCCCGAAAUUGCCUUGCACUGUAGAAUUAUGGUUUCGGCAAGAAAUGAAAAAUAGCCAAUUAUUUAUUAUAAAUGCUACUAUUUUACAAUUAAUAUUUAAGACUGUUAGAGAGGGAUAGAAGCCAUUUUUAUGGAUGAAGGGAUUUUUUCAUUACAGGUCAUUUAUUUGAAUGAUCAGCAAAAAUUUGAGCCUAUGAGUUUAAUAAUUUGAAUUCGUAGAAUAAGAUUAGUACAAAUUUAACUGUUGUGUUUGUGAGAGAGAAAAGAAAACUACAAGUUUGCAAAUCCUAAUACAUUUUCUCAGUGACUACUGAAAUAUUCUGUACAAAUUCCACUGUCACAGGUGCUCAGUUUUGCUACAAUAAUACUAUAUAUUAUACAGCACAUGCAUAAUUUGAGACAAUAUUCUGAUUCUCAUUUUACCAAUGGCAAACCACAUCUAUCUUAUUAACAACUAUUCAUUUUGUGUAUAAUCAAUAUCUAAACAAGUGAUAUUUAGUUGUUAACGAGGGAUUGGCUGGACUCUGCUGACCCAAUCAGUAUUUCUCGUCCAAUGGUCAUACUUUAAUUUUCCGGUUUUUCUAGUAUUGCAUCCUUCUCAUGGGCAUUUCAUGACUUUUCAGUGUGGGUUAAACCUAUUUUUUGGCCCAUAAUAUGUAUUUUUUAAAGAGUAAUUAAAAAUAGUUUUGUCUAUGCUAUUGAAAUUGUGGGUUACAUCUUUGUCACCUUUUUCACCCAAGGAGUUUACAUUCCUGAUAAUACAAGAGUGAGGAACUUACAUUUUAAUUACAAAGGAAAACCAAUUCAUCUGUUAUGUUCUUCUGUCCUCCAUUUUCAAGGGUAAGAUUUCUUUAUAAAUCAUCUACUCACCCAUAUGUCUUUAUUUUUUGUGGAACACAAAAGGAGAGAGUCACUUAGUCUCCGUCACAAUUAGAAAAGAAACUGAUAGGGAAUUGUGACUGAGGCUGUCAGUCUCUUGAUGUUCUGCCUCACAUCUCCUUUAGUGCUCCAAUAAAUUUACUAAAUGUAAUUUUCUGUAUACCUCUGCGUGUAUCUGAAUGUAAAUGCCUUCUCUGUUAGUCACAUUGACGGGUUGUAUAUAGGAGGAUGUAUGCCUUAAACAUGCAGGCUAUCUGUAACUGUAUUUUGUAAAUAUUAAAACAAUGUUAACUGAA